Manis pentadactyla (Chinese pangolin) is the source of this 136-nucleotide small nuclear RNA. RefSeq annotates it as U4 spliceosomal RNA. The transcript has a single exon. Lineage: Eukaryota; Metazoa; Chordata; Mammalia; Pholidota; Manidae. The record is from RefSeq and is a predicted model, not a curated record.
AGCUUUGCACAGUGGCAGUAUUGUAGCCAAUGAGGUUUAUCCGAGGUGUGAUUUUUGCUAAUUGAAAACUUUUCCCAGUACCCUGCGAUGAUGACUUGAAAUAUAUGGCAUUGGCAAUUAAAAAAAAAAAAGUAUU